Molecule: ribosomal RNA, 406 nt
Filed under: uncultured bacterium
Lineage: Bacteria
Description: partial 16S ribosomal RNA
Rfam family: Bacterial small subunit ribosomal RNA
Source: RNAcentral
GACGAACGCUGGCGGCAGGCCUAACACAUGCAAGUCGAGCGAGCGGCGGAAGGGCGAGUAAGGUAUGGGGAACUGCCCGACAGAGGCGGCUAACUACUGGAAACGGUGGAUAAUACCGCAUACUAUCCGUUGAAGCCAUAUGGGAUUAGCUAGUAGGUGGGGUAAAGUAUCACCUAGGCGACGAUUCCUAGCUGGUCUGAGAGGGUUAUCGGCCACACUGGGACUGGGACACGGCCCAGACUCCUACGGGGGGCAGCAGUUGGGAAUCUUGCGCAAUGGACGCAAGCCUGACUCAGCCAUGCCGCGUGUAUGAAGAAGGCCUUAGGGUUGUAAACUCCUUUCGGCGGGGAAGCGUUACCCGAAGAAGAAGCCCCGGCUAACUCCGUGCCAGCCGCCGCGGUAAUUC